Oncorhynchus kisutch (coho salmon) is the source of this 1474-nucleotide long non-coding RNA. RefSeq lists it as uncharacterized. The record is from RefSeq and is a predicted model, not a curated record. Lineage: Eukaryota; Metazoa; Chordata; Actinopteri; Salmoniformes; Salmonidae. The transcript has 3 exons.
GUGACCUUACUCGGAUGCAGCAUGUCAGCCCUACACACCUGGUUGCCUUUAUUUGGUUGAUAUCUUAUCUGCAAUAAGAAUGGAGGAAACAGAGACAAUGCACAUGGCCUCGUGAUCAAGUUCAACGAAUGUGUGAAUGCCACAGACAAGUGAGCCUUCAACCCUCUCCACAAGGCAGCUCAGAAGGCUGAUGAUAUGUGCCCUGUUUAUGGACACUAUGCCCCCAGAUGCAGAGAAGAGGGAUCACCAGCUCAGCUCAUCAAACUGUCCAAUUUUUACAGGGGACAACAGACUUGAUCGAGGUCUUCACGGUCCAAAAAGCCUGGUAAAUGACCUGAUAAAUCCUACCCCCGCAAACCUAUGUGAACUUUUACGUUUGCGGCAUAUUUCAGAGAUAAAAUAACCAACAUUAGGUGGGUUAACAGUCAAGCAAGACCUGAUGUGAAGUUUGAUAUGUGCCCUAGCCGACCACUGGUUGACACGAACAUGCUGACACAUGCUGACACAACGAAAGUGAUAUCACAACUUGAGCUUUUGACCUGCCUUCUCAAUCCUAUCCCCACCACCUUCUUCAAAACUGUUUUUAAUUGCAUACCUGAAGAAGUGCAAGCUAUUGUUAAUCACUCCCUUGUUAAUCACUUCCUAAAAACUGCUAUGGUGAAACCCCUUCUGAAGAAAAGAAACCUAGAUUCUUCAGCUCUUGUCUAUUUUCAGCCAAUCUCCAUCCUUACAUUCUUAAGCAAAAUUCUGGAGAAAUGUGUUUACGAACAGCAAAGUUAUUUUAGUGCCAACUGUAUUUGAAUUUUUUGUUGUUGAAAAAUUCCAAUAUGGUUUUCGGGCCCACCCCAGCACAGAGACUGCCUUAGUUAAAGUGGUAAAUGAUCUUAGAGCCAACACAGAUGCCAAACAAAUCUCUGUCUUUGUACUCUUGGAUUUAAGUGCCGCAUUCGACACUGUUGACCAUGAUGUCCUUCUGGGCAGACUGGAGUGAUGGGUUGGCCUCUACGGUCCAGUUCUAAAUUGGUUUAGGACCUAUUUAACUGGUCAAGAGUUGUUGUUUUUUAUCACCCUUUGUGACAAAAAAUGAUGCCGAAGGAGAUGGCUGCCGUUUUACGAUCCCGUAACCAAUUGUGCGGUUGUGUAUGUUUUUUCGUAUUCUUUUUAAAGUUAUUUUGUACAUAGUGUUUCAGCCACCGUGUCUUAUGACCAAAAAGAGCUUCUAGAUAUCAAAACAGUGAUUACUCACCCCAUACUGGAGGAAUACUUUUUCUUCAACAAGUCUGAAGGGAAUGAUUUACUUCAGACACCCCACAAGGCCCUCAUCCCCAUAAUUCGCAGGAGAAAGAGACGGAAGUAUCGUGGACGAAGACCCAGGUGCCUUGUUAGUAUCCGCCGCUGAGAUGGUAAUCUACCUUUACCAUCCGUCCUAUUAGCCAAUGUACAAUCAAUCCAUAAUAAAAUAGACAAACUAUGA